UGUUUCUGUACCUGCAGAAAUGUGCAAUAUGGCGGAUGGCGGAGUGAACUAUUUAGCAGUCAAAUGGCCUAGUGUUGUCUUAGGUCCUUGUUUAGAGUGUAUAUGUGAGAUAAUUGUUUGAAAUUGAAUUUUCUGUGUUGUGCCGAAUUGCUACCGAUCAUAGUUUGUUUCGUUUGACUAGUUAAGCUUAAGACGAGAUCGGCGGGAAACCAUAUACGCAGCGUAAUUUGUUUAUACGUUGCUUAGGGAGGACAAAAUGUGAAACUCGAACUUCGAGUGCACAAGAAAAAUGGUAAUCAUAGAAGUUUUGAGGAAAACUUACAAAUAUAAAUGAACAGCGAAGAAUACGAAAUGCAGGCGUUCCGGUCAAGUGCUGCGAAAAUGGAACCAUUGUGCUUACCUCCACCGCCGCCACCACCCCCUCUUCCUCGGCCUUCUUUCAUGCCACCACCUCCACCUCCUCUCUCGCAGGCUCCAAAAAGGUAUGAACCCGCAGGAAGCAGCCCAGUUGUUCGGCCAGUACAGAACCGCUUUUUAAAGCCGCCAGAUCAGCGCCCCUUCCAGCGCCCGCCGCAUUUACCAUUUUUACUUCCACCUCCUCCCCCCAAAUUUCGUAACCAGGCACAACGACUACAUGCAUCGCCAGCUGCGCAGUACAGGGCAGUGUCACAGAGCACUUCAUUGCAACGAAGAAAUCUGGAAGUCAAUGAUAACUCUACAUCUGCCACCAUACCGCCUGCGGAAGAAGAGCCUUCUCAAUUAAAAACACCCACUGUGAAAGAAGAGACAGGGCCCACUGAGUCUGUUGUACGAGAGGACAUGGAAGAGAAGUCCUGUACUUCAGAGGACGUCAACAUGUCUAAUAAAACACACAGAAAAAGGCCGUCUGAAAAAGAGUUGGAUAGCUCAUCUGGAUUACCCAAAGAAUUAACCCAGAAAUUUGGUCCUCUCACCUGUGAACUGUGUUCAGUUUCUGUAAAUUCAACUGUACAAGCAAAGAUGCAUUACUCAGGGAGGCAGCAUGAAAAGAAAGUUCAUAGUUUCUUAUUGAACUGGUCAAAGGAGACUGGAGAGCCAUUGCCAAAACAGUUUAAAGAUGGCCCACCAAAGAAAAGCGUUCCAGAUGUUUCUUUCUGUGAAGUAUGUAAUGUUGCCCUUACGUCAACUGCACAUGCGGAGCAGCACUACAUGGGACGCAAUCAUCGAAGAGCACUUGCAGGCCAUGCUGCAGCGAAAGCAAAGGUAGAACAGUGUGCAGUUCCUGCUAAUAAUCAGAUGGGAAGAUAUGGGAUUGGUACACAGUUUCAGCCAUGGUCAAAUGCAGAUCCACUAGCACUUAAAGCACCUGAACCAGAUUUACCAAUUCAGAAAACCAAGAAGUUUUUCUGUGAACUUUGUAAAGUGGCUGCCACUUCACAAGACCAGUUGGAUAUGCACUUACGGGGUGCGAAACACAGAAAAGCAGAAACUGCAAAUAAACAGAGAUCAACUGUGACAAGUACAACUCCACAGGCUACUCAGUCAGAUUCAAUUCUUGCAAGUGUGAUACAGAAUGAAGAUGGCACACAGAGUUCGGUGGGAAAAGACUAUUCUAUUUAUAGAACACCAUCUGGUUAUUAUUAUUGCCAGCCAUGUAAUUUAACAUUAAACUCUGAAGCGCAGUUCAUUCAGCAUUGUGAAAGUAAGAAACACAAGGUUAAAACAGCAACAGCAAAAAAGCCUGUCGGCAGCCCUUUAAAAGCUGGCAAUGUUGUUGCCUAAUGUAGUGUUACAUAUGGUUAUACAUGUUAUUUUUUGUUUUUCUCCAUGUGUUAUUCAGAAGUAGGUUCAGAUUUUGCACUUUUAAAAGUCUCGAGUUUUUGACACAGUUCAAAACAAAAUGAAAUAAACAGAUUUUCUUCCAAACAAGAUAGUAAGAAAGAUAUAAGGUAACAGAAUUAUUACUACAGUGUGUUAUACCACUUGCAUCCAGUUGAGACAGGUGUGGAAAACAUUUCUGUAUACAGUAGUACUCAUUUUAUAUUUAUUACAGGUUAUGAAACGUAACAGUUUCUUGAUACAUGAAAAUGCUGAGCUUUACCUUGAAGUGCGCAGACUGCGUCAGAAACUUGAGGGAAAUGAUAUUGUGACAAGGCAGCUCAGUCGUGAAGUUGGAUUAGUUGAAUUUGCCCAAGAUGCUGCAGAGACUGGCCCGUGAUAAAUUGUUGUCUGUCUAUAUACAUUAUGGGGCAACGGCCUUGCCACAGUGGAUCCACCAGUUCCCGUGCGAUCACCGAAGUUAAGCGCUGUCGGCCGUGGUCGGCACUUGGAUGUGUGACCAUCCAGGUCACCAUGCGCUGUUGCCAUUUUUUGGGGUGCACUCAGCCUCAUGAUGCCAGUUGAGGAGCUACUCGGCCGAAUAGUAGCGGCUUCGGUCAAGAAUACCAUCUUACGACAGGGAGAGCGGUGUGCUGACCCCACACCCCUCCUAUCCGCAUUCUCCACCAAGGAUGACACGGCGAUCGGAUGGUCUCGGUAGGCCACUCGUGGCCUGAAGGCGGAGUGCUAUACACGUUAUGUCUGCAUUCACUACCACUUAAAAACUUUGGAAGUAAUUCACAACAUGAGUAGAUUCACACUAGUGGUAAUUUUUGUUACUGUAUUUCACAUAAGUAGUGUAACUUGAAUUGUUUCUCAUUUAUGAACAUUCUGAUUCAUGAGGGAGUUUACCGAACAUGAUGCGUCAGUGAAUGAAUCUUGCAGUUCAGUCUCGCUUCCUCAGCUGCUGCUAUUUCUGUGAACUGGCAUAUGUAGGUGUACAGUAAACUAUUAACCCAAACAAAUAGAUAAACCAUCAAUACUGUUAUUACAAGUGGGCACAGAGAAUUUUGAACACAAAAAGCUAGUUGUAGAACAUCGGAUAAGAGUCAGUGUCCACAAUAAAUUAUGAAUGAAUGGAAAUGUCUGAAACACCACAUAUCUGUACAAAAGAAAACAUAGUAAUCUCUUUUUACAAGAUCGAAUUCUACAAAGUGGAAUUUAUAAGGAAAAAAUCCAUCCUGUAGUAUCUGUAGCACAGUAUUAUGUUACUGAAUUAAAAUCUGAUAGUACUGUGUUUUUCCAAGAAUUGGCUGUAAAUACCUAUAUGUACUCAGAAACUCCUCAUUGCAGUUAAAUGAAGAAGAAACUGAUGUAAUUAAGUAGGUCACUUCCCUAUGUUGUUUUGCAUAAUUGUUACAACUUAAUUAAUUUGAAAUUUCCAAAUUAAUGGACUAACAAUAGUAGUGUUAUGAAUUGUUGGUCAAGAUCAGUUUGUGUAGUGCCACCCAGCUCUCUUCUCCAGAUUUUUGUUACAGGUUGUACUUAAAUUUUAGCUUUAUAGUUGAUACUGAAAAUUGAAAAGUGUGUAUCACAUGUUAAUUUCCUAUACAUGUAGAGCCUAAGUGAAAUGCUGCACUAUACAGGCAGUAACUGGGAUGACACCUGUAACUACUCAAACACUGCAUGAGACAUUUUGAAGAGCGUAUAAAUGCAAGAACAACUUUUUGAUGGGUGAUGUCGUACUUUGCAAAGAUAUGAAAUCUCUUUCCAGGUAUCACAGACAUCAGUAUUGACAAAAAUGGAGAACACAAUUUCAGACCUGUCAAACAAGCACAAGCUGGUUUCAUUAAAUAGAGAUCAAAUAGUCCUCAAAUGAUUGUGAGUGCAAUAAGCUGAAAUGCACUGUGACUCAAGUAAUCAACCUCCACAGUGUGUGUUUAUUUCAAAGGUUUAUACAUGUGACUGCCUGCAGUGUCAGCUAAACAGUGUCUUUGGAAAUCAAAACUUUGGUAGAUUGACUAACCUGUGGCUUUGAGAUAGAUUAUACUGUGACUAUUGUCAGCAAAUAAACUUCUGCAGUUUGUUGGCUUUCUGUCUCUGUGGUUCAGGAAAACCUGCAGUUUAUGAGGUGACAAAAGAGUAUUUUAGAUUUCACUAAGUUAAAAAGCCUAAGAAGUCUACAUCAAUUGCCAGUUUGUUUUGUAUUACUACUUUUGAUUAAACUGUACGUAGUAUAAAUGUGAACAAAGCUAUGUUUUACACUGGUAAUUAUCACUUUCAAUUUAGGCAACUGAAGUGCCAUGGUAUUAAAACUCAGUUGAAUACUGAAGCUAUUUUACUGGUAUUAAAAUAGUACCGAUUUAGGCUGCAUAUGGUGUUGAUAUCUCCACAUGUGAAUAUGAGCAUAUUUUAUAAGAAAUCUGUCAUCGUGCUGAGGUUUAGAGGCCUUCUUUUUACAGUAACAAAUAUAAAAAUUGUCUCUUCUUUCUGGAGUGAGUAAGGUUAUCACUAAAUGACUUCAUGUGCACUGUUAUAACUUAAUAGCAUAAGCGAUCUAUGUGUAAGCAACUGUUUUCCAUGUGGUGAAUGUUAGAGUAACAACGAAAUUGUCAUUGGGCUUAAAAUAUACCUAGGAAGUAGUGUUUUGCACAAGUUUUGAAGAUGAUUUUUUUUUUUAAGAACCUGAAUUUUCAAAAAGACUGGUGUUAUAUGGUUCAGUAUUAUUGUUUUUUCCUCCUCAGUUAUAUUCAGUGACUAUACUAACACAGAAAGAUGUACAUUGAAGUACUUGUUAGAUUCAAAUAUUGCGUGCAUUUAUUUGUAUUGUUGUUCUCUGGAUCCAAUAGGCACUCCAUAAACUGUUACUGUUUGCUUAUGUGACCCUCUGCUGUCACUGCGAAAUAUGUAAUUUAAUGAGAAGCUUUGUCAUAUGAUGAAAAUUGUACUGUCAUCUGGAAAGAAGUCCAAAAUUUCAAAUCCCCAUGUGUGUUGUGAAGAAAAGCAGUACCUCUUGACUGUCUGCUUGGUAGUUGCCAAUCAGAUUGUUUAUUUCAAGAAUGCAAAAACCCAUUAAAUAAAGCCUUGAAUGCUCAUUCAAGAACAAUGAAAUACACAUGAAGUAAGCUGUAACACAUGAGAAUCACAGUGCUAAAAAGCAUUCUGUAAUAACAUGUAUGCAAUAUUUUUUUCUGAAUUUAACUACAUUGUAUGUUUCUCCUGUAUUGCUACAUAUUUUUUGUCUCGUCUUUCAUUCGGCUGUUCAUAUUAUUCCUGUCAUAUUGUUUCCACAUUAUUGUGUCAACUUGGCGAAUGUAGUUAAGUAGUACUGCAGCAAUAAAACACUGAACUCCAAAUUA
This is an RNA transcript of Schistocerca gregaria, 5156 nucleotides long. It is a transcript of the gene named cilia- and flagella-associated protein 45-like, with no coding region annotated. The transcript is spliced from 2 exons. Lineage: Eukaryota; Metazoa; Arthropoda; Insecta; Orthoptera; Acrididae. The record is from RefSeq and is a predicted model, not a curated record.